GGAUAUGAGGGCAAUCUAGUUGAGACAUCUGUCACCCCACUGACAGCCAGGAUUGUUUCAAGCGACCUCACUAGCUGGGAGGGUGUCCUCCUCACCUUCCUCACUGUUCCACGUGCAUACCCUCCUGAAGCUCCAUGUUCAAUAGAAAAGAAUAACCUCCCCAAAAAGAGGAAGACGAUUCUUCAGCCAUGAGUAUUCGAGUGGCUGCGUGUCCCUACUAGAAUUUCCAGAAGAGAAGUUGUUGCUGCAUUUUAAAUUUUUUAAUCUAUUUAGCUACAAAAUUCUAAACUAUCUUA
RNAcentral lists this small nuclear RNA (296 nucleotides) under Jaculus jaculus (lesser Egyptian jerboa). Its description in RNAcentral is "7SK RNA (ENSJJAG00000003425.1)". It matches the Rfam family "7SK RNA". From Rfam's summary of the family: 7SK was discovered as an abundant small nuclear RNA in the mid-70s but a possible function has only recently been suggested. Two independent studies have found that 7SK RNA binds the CDK9/cyclin T complex (known as elongation factor P-TEFb). Lineage: Eukaryota; Metazoa; Chordata; Mammalia; Rodentia; Dipodidae. The record is from RNAcentral.